GACGAACGCUGGCGGCGUGCUCAACACAUGCAAGUCGAACGGAAAGGCCCUGCUUUUGUGGGGUGCUCGAGUGGCGAACGGGUGAGUAACACGUGAGUAACCUGCCCUUGACUUUGGGAUAACUUCAGGAAACUGGGGCUAAUACCGGAUAGGAGCUCCUGCUGCAUGGUGGGGGUUGAAAAGUUUCGGCGGUUGGGGAUGGACUCGCGGCUUAUCAGCUUGUUGGUGGGGUAGUGGCUUACCAAGGCUUUGACGGGUAGCCGGCCUGAGAGGGUGACCGGCCACAUUGGGACUGAGAUACGGCCCAGACUCCUACGGGAGGCAGCAGUGGGGAAUAUUGCACAAUGGGCGGAAGCCUGAUGCAGCAACGCCGCGUGCGGGAUGACGGCCUUCGGGUUGUAAACCGCUUUCGCCUGUGACGAAGCGUGAGUGACGGUAAUGGGUAAAGAAGCACCGGCUAACUACGUG
Molecule: ribosomal RNA, 468 nt
Filed under: uncultured bacterium
Lineage: Bacteria
Description: partial 16S ribosomal RNA
Rfam family: Bacterial small subunit ribosomal RNA
Source: RNAcentral